UCCUACGGGAGGCAGCAGUGGGGAAUAUUGCGCAAUGGGGGGAACCCUGACGCAGCCAUGCCGCGUGAAUGAAGAAGGCCUUCGGGUUGUAAAGUUCUUUCGGUAAUGAGGAAGGGAUGUUAUUAAAUAGAUAGCAUCAUUGACGUUAAUUACAGAAGAAGCACCGGCUAACUCCGUGCCAGCAGCCGCGGUAAUACGGAGGGUGCGAGCGUUAAUCGGAAUAACUGGGCGUAAAGGGCACGCAGGCGGACUUUUAAGUGAGAUGUGAAAUCCCCGAGCUUAACUUGGGAACUGCAUUUCAGACUGGGAGUCUAGAGUACUUUAGGGAGGGGUAGAAUUCCACGUGUAGCGGUGAAAUGCGUAGAGAUGUGGAGGAAUACCGAAGGCGAAGGUAGCCCCUUGGGAAUGUACUGACGCUCAUGUGCGAAAGCGUGGGGAGCAAACAGGAUUAGAUACCCUGGUAGUCC
Molecule: ribosomal RNA, 467 nt
Filed under: uncultured bacterium
Lineage: Bacteria
Description: bacterial SSU rRNA
Rfam family: Bacterial small subunit ribosomal RNA
Source: RNAcentral